UGAGAGGUUGCUUGUGAGAGGUUGCUUGUGGCGGUGAGACCGUUCGGCUGGUGAGAGGUUGCUUGUGGAGGUGAGAGGUUGCUUGUGGCGGUGAGACCGUUCGGCUGGCGGUGAGAGGUUGCUUGUGAGAGGUUGCUUGUGGCGGUGAGACCGUUCGGCUGGCCGACACCUAUUUGGGCCGCCCAAGUGGAACGCGCUUUGGUGGCAGCGUGUCACACGGUACUCGCCUACCUGAUCUCUCCACGUGUACGGUGAAUUGGUAAUUUUCUUAUUUUACAGGAUGGAUGGAUGGAUAGAUGAAUGGAUUAAAACGUUUUUUGUUUCUAUUCCUAAGAUAAAAAAUUCUUUCAUGAUUAUUAAUUUUUAAUGUUACAAGAUUUUGACUACAUUUUAAUCUAUAGAAUUAAACUUUUACUUCCUGAUUUAAUUUCGAAAUAAUAAUCUACUUUUAUUAAGGAUAAAAAUAUUCAUGAUAUUAUUUUAAUAACUAGAGAGAUCACACACUCUAUUUAUAAUUAUAAUGAUAAAAAAAAAUUAUGUUAUGAUCAAAUUAGACCUUAAAAGUAUUAUUAUUAUUUAUAACUCUUCAAGUUUAUAAUAUUUCUAAUAAAUUUAUUGAUUAUAUUAGAGAAGAUUAGAUUAAGUGAUCCUAUUUAAUUAGGUAAGAUAUAUUAUGGAUAUGAUUGGAUUUUGAUUAUAGUUAUUGCCUAAUAGAAAGGAAGUUCAAUUAAGGUAAGAUUCAUUAAGAGACAUCAUUGAUUGAAGGAACUCUCAUAAUAACUUAUUAUGAGAUAAAACAUAAAGACGAAUGUACAGGAUGCAAUUGAGAGAUUAUGAUUUCUCUCUCAACCACCAUAAUUGAGGUCACCUGAAAAGAUAGGAAGAUACGAGAGAAAGAGUAUAGUUAUCCUUGUAAAUUGAUAGCAAUUUUGGAUAAAGACAUC
RNAcentral lists this long non-coding RNA (944 nucleotides) under Musa acuminata (dwarf banana). Its description in RNAcentral is "long non-coding RNA (MACU_LNC002464)". Lineage: Eukaryota; Viridiplantae; Streptophyta; Magnoliopsida; Zingiberales; Musaceae. The record is from RNAcentral.